GGGGAACCCCCUGUGGCAAACUCCAAAUUUCCUUUCCUUCUUUUUGCACAAGUUAAAGCGCCCCGACCCAAGGUCUUUCAUUUGUUUCCUAAAAGAAUUUAAGAGGUCGUAGAUCGAUCCCCUAAAUCUUAGGAAGGCAUGAGCCCGAGGAAAGAUCCACGCCCACGGGCUAGGACGACCUCCACUCACCCCCUAGGAUCGGGAAAUGGAUCCAAACUUCUAAAUUACUAAGGAAGAGAAAAAGACUUAGGCUCGGGACGCCAUGACUAACGCAGACCCUAAGAGGCUCAUCCGAACCCGCGCUGCCGAGGUCGGGUCGGUAUAGGGAAGAAGAUAACGAAAAACAUAAAGGAAAUCCUAAAAUUAACAAUCACAUUAACAUUCAUAUUAACAUUCGAUAUCGAGUUUCGUGAAAAACAAGGCCUAUCAGCCCUUGGUGAUCUUAAAACAAAAAGAAAAAAACUAACUACAAGGGCCCUACUGCCCUGAUUUCCCAAGUCCCUGCGUGUCGAGGGGGGGAAGCUCCACUUCGGCGUCAAAAAGGCGGCCAAGGCGUCUCCCGGGGCAUCCACGGCGUCUCCAAGCUUCUGCAGCUCCUCCUGGGCCUCCGCCUCAUCGUCAGGGAGGACAUACCCUCACAAACCGAGGGCAAAUCAAUGCCAACGUAGUGAGAGCUCAACACCGCC
RNAcentral lists this long non-coding RNA (686 nucleotides) under Sorghum bicolor (sorghum). Its description in RNAcentral is "long non-coding RNA (SBIC_LNC006290)". The record is from RNAcentral. Lineage: Eukaryota; Viridiplantae; Streptophyta; Magnoliopsida; Poales; Poaceae.